Myotis brandtii (Brandt's bat) is the source of this 105-nucleotide non-coding RNA. NCBI's taxonomy places the organism in Eukaryota, Metazoa, Chordata, Mammalia, Chiroptera, Vespertilionidae. The record is from Rfam.
GUGCUUUCUUCGGCAGCACAUAUACUAAGAUUGGAACUAUACACGGAUUAGCAUGGUCCCUGCACAAGGAGUAGAUAAAAAAGAAGUCAGGGCCCAAGGAUAACU